GACGAACGCUGGCGGCGUGCUUAACACAUGCAAGUCGAACGGAAAGGCCCUGCUCUUGUGGCGUUCUCGAGUGGCGAGCGGGUGAGUAACACGUGAGUAACCUGCCCUUGACUUUGGGAUAACUUCAGGAAACUGGGGCUAAUACCGGAUAGGAGCUCCUGCAGCAUGGUGGGGGUUGGAAAGUUUCGGCGGUUGUGGAUGGACUCGCUGCUUAUCCGCUUGUUGGUGUGGUAGGGGCUUACCAAGGCUGUGACGGGUAGCCGGCCUGAGAGGGUGACCGGCCACAUUGGGACUGAGAGACGGCCCAGACUCCUACGUGAGGCAGCAGUGGGGAAUAUUGCACAAUGGGCGGAAGCCUGAUGCAGCAACGCUGCGUGCGGGAUGACGGCCUUCGGGUUGUAAACCGCUUUCGCCUGUGACGAAGCGUGAGUGACGGUAAUGGGUAAAGAAGCACCGGCUAACUACGUG
RNAcentral lists this ribosomal RNA (468 nucleotides) under uncultured bacterium. Its description in RNAcentral is "partial 16S ribosomal RNA". It matches the Rfam family "Bacterial small subunit ribosomal RNA", at positions 28 to 507 of the family's 1533-position model. The record is from RNAcentral.